CCUGGCUUAGGAUGAACGCUAGCGACAGGCCUAACACAUGCAAGUCGAGGGGCAGCACAAGGAGCAAUCUGAGGUGGCGACCGGCGCACGGGUGAGUAGCACGUAUGCAACCUGCCUGUAAGCGGGGAAUAACCCGUUGAAAGACGGACUAAUACCGCAUAAUACUAAAUUACUGCAUGGUAAUUUAUUUAAACAUUUAUGGCUUACAGAUGGGCAUGCGCAUGAUUAGCUAGUUGGAGAGGUAACGGCUCCCCAAGGCAACGAUCAUUAGGGGUUCUGAGAGGAAGGUCCCCCACACUGGUACUGAGACACGGACCAGACUCCUACGGGAGGCAGCAGUGAGGAAUAUUGGUCAAUGGACGAGAGUCUGAACCAGCCAAGUCGCGUGCAGGAAGAAUUGUCCUAUGGAUUGUAAACUGCUUUUGCAGGGGAAUAAAGUGCAUCACGUGUGAUGUUUUGUAUGUACUCUGCGAAUAAGGAUCGGCUAACUCCGUGCCAGCCGCGGC
Molecule: ribosomal RNA, 506 nt
Filed under: uncultured bacterium
Lineage: Bacteria
Description: bacterial SSU rRNA
Rfam family: Bacterial small subunit ribosomal RNA
Source: RNAcentral